UGCAUGUCUAAGUACAUGCCGAUUCAAGGGGAAACCGCGAAUGGCUCAUUAAAUCAGUUAUGGUUUCUUAGAUCGUACCUCACUACUUGGAUAACUGUGGUAAUUCUAGAGCUAAUACAUGCAGCAGAGCUCCGACCCUCCGGGGGACGAGCGCUUUUAUUAGACCAAACCGGCGGUGCCUCGGCGCCUCUCUCGUGGUGACUCUGUAUAACUUUGGGCUGAUCGCACGGGCCAGACUCGGCGACGCAUCUUUCAAGUGUCUGACUUAUCAACUGUCGAUGGUAGGUUACGCGCCUACCAUGGUCGUAACGGGUAACGGGGAAUCAGGGUUCGAUUCCGGAGAGGGAGCCUGAGAAACGGCUACCACAUCCAAGGAAGGCAGCAGGCGCGCAAAUUACCCACUCCCGGCACGGGGAGGUAGUGACGAAAAAUAACAAUACGAGACUCUUUCGAGACCUCGUAAUUGGAAUGAGCACACUCUAAAUCCUUUAACGAGGACCCAUUGGAGGGCAAGUCAGGUGCCAGCAGCCGCGGUAAUUCCCGCUCCAAUAGCGUAUAUUAAAGUUGUUGCGGUUAAAAAGCUCGUAGUUGGAUCUCAGUUCCAGACGCGCGGUCCGCCUCACGGCGGCACCCGCGCGGCCUGAACAACCGGCCGGUUUCCCCGGAUGAUCUUCACCGGUUGUCCCGGGUGACCGGCACGUUUACUUUGAAAAAAUUAGAGUGCUCAGAGCAGGCGGAACGCUUGGAUAAUGGUGCAUGGAAUAAUGGAAUAGGACCUCGGUUCUAUUUUGUUGGUUUUCGGGACUCGAGGUAAUGAUUAAGAGGAACAGUCGGGGGCAUUCGUAUUGCGACGCUAGAGGUGAAAUUCUUGGACCGUCGCAAGACGAACUACUGCGAAAGCAUUUGCCAAGCAUGUUUUCAUUAAUCAAGAACGAAAGUUAGAGGUUCGAAGGCGAUCAGAUACCGCCCUAGUUCUAACCAUAAACGAUGCCAACCAGCGAUCCGUACGAGUUCCUCAAAUGACUCUGCGGGCAGCUUCUGGGAAACCACAAGUGUUUGGGUUCCGGGGGAAGUAUGGUUGCAAAGCUGAAACUUAAAGGAAUUGACGGAAGGGCACCACCAGGUGUGGAUCGUGCGGCUCAAUUUGACUCAACACGGGUAAUCUUACCCGGCCAGGACACUGGGAGGAUUGACAGAUUAAUAGCUCUUUCUUGAUUCCGUGGGGUGUGGUGCAUGGCCGUUCUUAGUUGGUGGAGCGAUUUGUCUGGUUAAUUCCGAUAACGAGCGAGACUCUAGCCUACUAAAUAGACGCGGCGCGCCUUUCCGCGGCGCGUCUUCUUAGGGGGACAAGCGGCGUUUAGCCGCACGAGACAGAGCAAUAACAGGUCUGUGAUGCCCUCAGAUGCCCGGGGCCGCACGCGCGCUACAAUGGAGGAAUCAGCGUGUCCUUCCCAGUCCGCAAGGACCGGGCAACCCGAUGAAACUCCUCCGUGAUUGGGAUAGGGGCUUGUAAUUGUUCCCCUUGAACGAGGAAUACCCAGUAAGCGCGAGUCAUUAGCUCGCGCUGAUUACGUCCCUGCCCUUUGUACACACCGCCCGUCGCUACUACCGAUUGAAUGAUUUAGUGAGGUCUUCGGACUGACGGCCGGUGCGACCCUUCGCGGUGCGUCCGGCGCGUCGGAAAGAUGACCGAACUUGAUCCUUUAGAGGAAGUAAA
RNAcentral lists this ribosomal RNA (1717 nucleotides) under Usofila sp. MR71. RNAcentral describes it as "SSU rRNA". It matches the Rfam family "Eukaryotic small subunit ribosomal RNA". Lineage: Eukaryota; Metazoa; Arthropoda; Arachnida; Araneae; Telemidae. The record is from RNAcentral.